RNAcentral lists this long non-coding RNA (2096 nucleotides) under Pan troglodytes (chimpanzee). Its description in RNAcentral is "long non-coding RNA NONPTRT013975". The record is from RNAcentral. Lineage: Eukaryota; Metazoa; Chordata; Mammalia; Primates; Hominidae.
CAGCUGCCAUGUUGUAAGGACACUCAAGCAGCCCUGUGGAGGCCUAUGUGUGAAGAACUGAACCCUCCUACUAACUACCAGUAAGGAACUGAAGCCUCCUGCCCACAGCCACAUGAGUGAACAACACUGGAAGUAGAUCUUCCAGCCCCAGUCAAGCCUUCAGAUGACUGCAGCCCUGAACAUACAACUGCAGCCUCAUGAGAUCCUGAGCCAGAACCAUCCAACUAAGCUGUCCCUGAAUUUCUGACCUACAAAAACUGUGACAUCAAGUUUGAUCAGUAAAGCUGCUUUAUUUUGGGGUAAUACAUGCUCAAAAGCACAACUUACCUGUUCAAGACCACCAGUGUGUCCCACCUGGUUGAGGUGGUUCCUCAGAAGCUGUCCUGGGUCAUUUGAUGUGUCCCGAGCAAACAGAAGCACAGAGAAAAAUGGAAAACACCCCAGUUCCUUCAAUGGCUCCCAGAAUGUGAAGAAGCAUCCUGGCCACAUUUCCAUCUGCUGAGGAUACUUUAUCAGGCACCGAGCUUGAGAUGGCCUCUGACCAGCCCAGUUCAAGGAAACACCAAUUAUUUUUGGUCAUUUAACUAUGUGAAAUCACCCCAGCCGCACAAAACUGAAUAAACGCACAUGCUGACAUCAUACUGCAGACGACGCUAGAAGGUAGCAUGGACAGAAAGGGAAAGUUUUCUCACAAAAAUUGUUUGAAACAUUUUGAACUCAAACCUGCAGCAGCAGCGUACCAGCAUGAGCUCCGGGUCCUGCAGCCAGGGCGGCAGCCCCACAGCCUGGCUCAUGGCCUGGAACAGCGUGGCCCUCAGUGCACAGUAAUUAUCACCACGGACUCGCCGUAUGGAGGUGAACUUCUGAGAAACCUCUUCAUAGCCCUGGGAAAAGGUAUGAAAGAAUUCAAAAUGGUCGUUACUGACUUGAGAUAGCAGAGAAAGUUUCAUUCCUGUGGAAAAAGCUUGGCCUGGGAUCACUGGGAGGAUGCCCAAAGUUGGAGUUUUAUGUCCCUUUCUAAGCAAUUGUUUUAACACUUACUCACUGGCAAACAACAUUUUGAAGGGUUUACUCUGUUUCAAAUGACCCUAAACUCUUUAAAAAAAAAAAAAAAAAGGCAAGAAAAAAGAGAGCUAAACUAAGUUUAUAUUUUCCUACUAAAAAAAUAUAGAAAAACCCCAAGUUUCCAAAACACAAAGGGGGGCGGGGGUGCUUUGUGUAUGUGCAUGUAUAUAUAAAAGUCUAUAUGCCAGGAGAUGGCUGAAUAAUUCUGUUAGGCUUCUUUUUUUGAGAUGCAGUUUCGCUCUCGUUGCCCAGGCUGGAGUGCAGUGGCGCAAUCUCGGCUCACUGCAACCUCGGCCUCCCGGGUUCAAGCAAUUCUCCUGCCUCAGCCUCCUGAGUAACUGGGAUUACAGGUAUGUGCCACCAAGCCCAGCUAAUUUUUUGUAUUUUUAGUAGUGACAAGAUUUCAUCAUGUUGGUCAGGCUGGUCUUGAACUCCUGACCUCAGAUGAUCCACCUGCUUCUGCCUCCCAAAGUGCAGGGAUUACAGGCGUGAGCCACCGUGCCCCGCCUUCUUUUCUUAAGUGAAGUGUCACUCUUGCUCAGUCUGGAAGUGAAACAAGGAAAUGAAAAUAUUCAAUGACAUGCUUGGGCACUCAAAAACAGCCAUCCAAUGGACCAUUCUGAAACGUACCCUGAAAAGACACCAAAAAAUCCUAGUGAGUCUGGUCCCCCAGCAGGCAUGAUGAUGCCUGGCUUCUCCAGCUAGACACAUGCACAGUCCUUGAGACUGACUGAACUGCCCACCAUCUCCCUGACCCUGGGUCGAGUCAGCCCCUUCACUCAUCCAACUUUUCCUUGACAGUCACUCAAGACCCACUUCCUACCCUGCACUCACACAAAGAAAGAAGUGUUACCCUCAUCGUGGAGUGGACGCAAUGCAGACCACCUCUGUCCUGUGUGUCCAGGUACUAGAACCUCAUUACUAGCUGUUUUCAAGGUUCAAGUCAUAGGAUGAUGUUUUAAGUGAAUAUAAAAGUACUUUUUUCCCCCAAUAACAACAUUUUGAGGGUUGCAUUUUUAUUUAGUGGUCCA